Molecule: ribosomal RNA, 446 nt
Filed under: uncultured bacterium
Lineage: Bacteria
Description: partial 16S ribosomal RNA
Rfam family: Bacterial small subunit ribosomal RNA
Source: RNAcentral
AGCGAACGCUGCGGCAGGCUUAACACAUGCGAGUCGAGCGCCCCGCAAGGGGAGCGGCAGACGGGUGAGUAACACGUGGGAACGUGCCUUUUGGUUCGGAACAACCCAGGGAAACUUGGGCUAAUACCGGAUAAGCCCUUACGGGGAAAGAUUUAUCGCCAAAUGAUCGGCCCGCGUCUGAUUAGCUAGUUGGUGGGGUAAUGGCCCACCAAGGCUACGAUCAGUAGCUGGUCUGAGAGGAUGAUCAGCCACAUUGGGACUGAGACACGGCCCAAGCUCCUACGGGAGGCAGCAGUGGGGAAUAUUGGACGAUGGGGGCAACCCUGAUCCAGCCAUGCCGCGUGAGUGAUGAAGGCCUUAGGGUUGUAAAGCUCUUUUAGCAGGGAAGAUAAUGACGGUACCUGCAGAAAAAGCCCCGGCUAACUUCGUGCCAGCCGCCGCAGUAA